Ricinus communis (castor bean) is the source of this 4603-nucleotide RNA transcript. It is a transcript of the gene named disease resistance protein RPV1, with no coding region annotated. The record is from RefSeq and is a predicted model, not a curated record. NCBI's taxonomy places the organism in Eukaryota, Viridiplantae, Streptophyta, Magnoliopsida, Malpighiales, Euphorbiaceae. The transcript is spliced from 6 exons.
CUUCUGUCACUGUCAAAAGGGCUGGUCAGCUUUCUGCUCUUACUGUCAAAUUCAGACUAUAUAUACAAUGCCUUUGCUCGUCCCUUUGAAUGCCUUGCACAUGUUUCUUGAAGAAAGACAAUAAGGUUUUUAUUUUAUUUUUUUCUUUUAGGCGAAAAAACAAAAUAAAUUACUGAAUGAUUGAUAGUUACUUUCUAACACUUCUUCCAUAUUUGAGAAGGAGAUUUAUUGAUAUUGUCGUUGAUUAUUGUACAUGAGCAACACUGGAGGCGGCCAGAAAACGCCCAUUUUUCAUGAAAGAGAAGUGGUUCUAAACAAACUUCUGGUACUUCAAGCUUCUUAUCUGAAUACUUCCAUCAGGGCAGCCAUAAAUCUUCAUCUGGCUGAAUCCUUUUAUUCAUUCAAUGAUGUGUUGUUUUUAAGGAUGUUGGCAUUUAUGACAAGCUUUCUCAGACAAUAAGCAUGCUGCCAGAGAGUUCGUCGCAGAUCAUGAGCCAGGAAUUACUCACUCAUCAUUAGCAAUAUCGAAACCUUUGCUAGCAUUUGAUGCCAUAUUUCCUUGUAUCUGCUAAUUUCAGCUAGAUAAAAGAAUCUCUCAUCUUUUUUUGUCUAGCCAUGGCUUCCUCCUCUUCCUCUGCUUCUUUCGAUCCACAACUCAAAUACGAUGUUUUCGUGAGCUUUAGAGGUGAGGACACACGGGAUAAUUUUACGAGCCAUCUCUAUGCUGCUUUACAUCAGAAACAAAUUAAAGCUUUCGUAGAUGAUAAACUUUCUAGAGGAGAAGAGAUAUCAGCGGCCCUAGUGAAAGUGAUUGAAGAAUCAAUGGUUUCAGUAAUCAUUUUCUCAGAAAACUAUGCAUUUUCACCAUGGUGCUUGGAUGAACUGGUAAAGAUCCUGGAAUGCAAGAAAACGGUGGGACAAAUUGUACUACCUGUUUUCUACCAUGUAGAUCCGUCCGACGUAGCUGAGCAGAAAGGUGGUUUUGGGGCUGCAUUUAUUGAGCAUGAAAAAUGUUUCAAGGAGAGAAUAGAUAAGUUGCAAAAAUGGAGAGCUGCUUUGACCGAAGCUGCCAACAUAUCUGGGUGGAGUUCGUCUGUCAUUAGGUCUGAAUCCAAACUUAUUCAGGAAAUUGCUGAAGAUAUAUUGAAGAAAUUGAAUCAUAUGUCAUCCUCAACUGAUUCAAAGGGUUUAGUUGGAAUUAAUUCUCGAAUUGACAAAAUUGAACUACUAUUAUGUGUUGAAUUAGCUGAUGUUCGUUUUCUAGGACUUUGGGGUAUGGGUGGUGCAGGCAAAACCACCACAGCUGAAGUAGUGUUCAACCGAAUAUCUACACAGUUUGACAGUUGCUGCUUUCUUGCAAAUGUUAAUGAAGAGUCAGAAAGGUAUGGCCUACUUAAACUACAAAGGCAGCUCUUCUCUAAACUCCUAGGGCAAGACAAUGUAAACUACGCUGAAGGCAUAUUUGAUAAGAGUAGACUCAAACAUAGAAAGGUUCUCAUUGUUCUUGAUGAUGUAAAUAACUUGAGACAGCUGGAAAAUCUGGCUGGAGAGCAUAAUUGGUUUGGACCAGGAAGUAGAAUCAUUCUAACUUCUAGAGAUAAGGAUGUACUCAAGAAUAAAACUGAUGCAAUCUAUAAGAUUGAGGACCUAGAUCACCAUGAAGCCCUUCAACUCUUUAGUUUGAAUGCGUUUAGGCAGGAAUGUCCCAAAGCAGAUUAUAUGAAGCUAUCAAAGAGAGUCAUAAAUUAUGCUAAAGGAAACCCAUUGGGUCUGAAAGUCCUAGGCUCCUUUCUAUAUCAAAGGAACAUCAAAGAAUGGGAAAGUGCACUGCAUAAACUAGAAAGGAGCACGAACAAAGAGAUUCAGAAUGUAUUAAAAGUAAGUUAUGAUGGAUUAGAUGACGAAGAGAAGGAUAUUUUUCUUGAUGUUGCAUGUUUCUUCAAUGGGGAAGAUAGAGAUUUUGUUACAAGAAUUCUGAAUGGCUGCGGCUUCUCUGCAGAUAUUGCCAUAAGUGUUCUUGUAAGUAAGUCCCUUCUAACUAUAUCGAACAACACGUUAGCUAUUCAUAAUUUGUUGCAGCAAAUGGGUUGGGGAAUUGUUCGACAAGAAUCUACUAAAGAGCCUGGGAGACGUAGCAGGUUGUGUACUUCUGAAGAUGUAGUCCAUGUAUUAUCCAAAAACACGGGAACUGAAGCAAUUGAGGGCAUAUACCUCGACAUGUCUAAAAGCAGAAAGGUGUAUCUAAGUCCUAAAGCCUUUGAAAGAAUGCAUAAUCUGAGAUUGCUCAAGUUUCAUCAUUCUUUUUCUCCCAUAGCAAUGUACAGCAAAGUGUACCUUCCAGAAGGUCUUGAAUCUCUGCCAGAUAAGUUAAGUUGUCUUCACUGGAAUGGCUACCCUUUAAAGUCUCUGCCAUUCAAUUUUUGUGCUGAGUACCUUGUUGAACUUAGCAUGCCUCACAGUCAUGUUAAAUUUCUUUGGGAGGGAGACCAGUGUCUCAAGAAGUUGAACUCAAUUAACCUUAGUGACUCCCAACACCUGAUCAGAUUACCAGAUUUCUCAGAAGCCUUAAAUCUUGAGUAUAUUAAUCUUGAAGGCUGUAUAAGUUUGGCUCAGGUGCCAUCAUCUAUCGGAUAUCUCACAAAGCUUGAUAUCCUGAACCUAAAAGACUGCAAAGAGCUUAGGAGUAUCCCAAGCUUAAUUGAUUUGCAAUCUCUGAGGAAACUGAAUCUCUCUGGAUGCUCAAACCUAAAUCACUGUCAAGACUUCCCUAGAAAUAUAGAGGAGCUAUGUUUGGAUGGAACUGCCAUAGAAGAACUGCCUGCGUCAAUUGAGGAUUUAUCUGAACUUACUUUCUGGAGUAUGGAAAACUGCAAAAGGUUUAAGAACCUUCCAAGCAACACAUACAAGCUGAAAUCUCUUAAACGUCUCUCCAUUGCUGGCUGCUUGAUGCUAGAAAGUAUACCCAUCAGCAUCAAACAACUUCCUUCGCUACAAAAGCUUGACAUAAGUGGCUGUCAGGGACUUAAAUGUUUGCCAGAACCUCCACAAAAUCUUAGGCUUUUAAAUGCCAACAGCUGCAUUUCGCUGGAAACAGUUUCAUUACCAUCAACAGAAUCUGGCAGAGCACUCAAAUAUAAUUAUAAUCAAAUAUUUUGUUUUCUUAAUUGUCUAAGGUUGGAUCAGAAUUCAUGCUGCCUUAUUGCAGCUGAUGCACACAAGACUAUUCAACGGACAGCAACAGCAGCAGUAAAAAACAAUUUUCAGGGGAUUCAUUCAUUGCCUUCAGUUAGUUUUGGUUUCCCUGGAACAGAGAUUCCGGAUUGGCUCCUCUACAAGGAAACUGGAUCUUCAAUAACAGUCAAGUUGCAUCCAAAUUGGCACAGAAAUCCUUCCAGGUUCUUGGGAUUCGCAGUAUGCUGUGUUGUUAAAUUCACACACUUCAUAGAUAUCAAUAACAUUUAUGUGAUAUGUGAAUGCAAUUUCAAGACCAAUCAUGAUGAUCACCAUGUUGUUAAUUGCUUUCUACAAGGUCUAAAUAAUGGAAAGGAUGAAUCAGACCUUGUGAAAUCACAACAUGUGUACAUUGGAUAUGAUUUUGGUAUAUAUCUUAGAGCAGUUAAAGGAACAUAUCCUGGGAGGUUGUACCAUUAUGAGGAGGUGACAUUCAAAUUCUACGCAAAAAAAAUGGUAGGGCACACCGUUGCCUGGCGGAAAGUGGACAAGUGUGGUGUACAUCUUUUAUAUGCACAGGAUGCUACAUGCUGAUGAAAAAGUUUCAAGAAGUUAUUGCUUGGAUCCAACAGAGGUAGUGCAGAGAAUAAAGGACAAGAUGCCACGACUGUGGAGCUAACUGAUUUCAUCUAAGCUGCUCAUGAUGGCAAAGUCAGUUGAUGUUUCAUUCCAGAAGAGAAUGGUAUUUCCCCAUCAGAAAUAUAAUUGCUAGAAUAAACGGUGCAGAUUAUGUUUUUCACUUUGAGUCAUAACUGUUCUAUAUUGAUUAUGUCCAAUUUUCUACCUCUGAUUUAACAACCAAAUACCAAUCAUAUUGAUGAUGAUUAUCCUAAGAAGAAAGUUAUUAUGAAUAUGAUAUGUGGAAAAGGAAGAAGGAGAUGAGAUAGGAGAACAAGAUACUGCCUGGAAAUGAAAAGAUGUUUUGCCUCCCUGGAAUUGGAGACCCACUGAUCCAGCAGUUUGUCAGUCAUAAAAUACUGAGAAGCUGCUCAAGGGCCUCCCUUUUUUCUUCAACAUGAGAGUGCCCUUACUUCAAAAGGGGCUUGGCAAACUAUCUGAUGAUUCUUAUAUGAAGUAGAACCAGAAUUUGUGGAUUCAAAAGGGGCUUCGUUCACAAACUUGCUAUACAGAAUAGAACUUUUCCCUACUUCCGCUACUACCUCUGAACAAGACAUGGCGACCUGGCCAUGGGACACAAGGACAGAACUAUAUUUCUUGUGGACUCGUGUAGGAAAUGCAGAACUGACAGAACCCCUUGUUGAACUAGAUGAAGUAGAAAUGCACAUGGGGAGGUGGAAUAAGUAGGACUGAUAAAUAGAAAUCUCUCUGCAAUUCAUUCCAGGUGAGAUUAUUGCGCAAUUUUUACAAUCAA